RNAcentral lists this ribosomal RNA (735 nucleotides) under uncultured bacterium. Its description in RNAcentral is "bacterial SSU rRNA". It matches the Rfam family "Bacterial small subunit ribosomal RNA", at positions 335 to 1062 of the family's 1533-position model. The record is from RNAcentral.
ACUCCUACGGGUGGCUGCAGUGGGGAAUAUUGGACAAUGGGCGAAAGCCUGAUCCAGCCAUGCCGCGUGUGUGAAGAAGGCCUUUUGGUUGUAAAGCACUUUAAGUGGGGAGGAAAAGCUUGUGGUUAAUACCCAUAAGCCCUGACGUUACCCACAGAAUAAGCACCGGCUAACUCUGUGCCAGCAGCCGCGGUAAUACAGAGGGUGCAAGCGUUAAUCGGAAUUACUGGGCGUAAAGCGAGCGUAGGUGGUCAUUUAAGUCAGAUGUGAAAGCCCCGGGCUUAACCUGGGAACUGCAUCUGAUACUGGGUGACUAGAGUAGGUGAGAGGGAAGUAGAAUUCCAGGUGUAGCGGUGAAAUGCGUAGAGAUCUGGAGGAAUACCGAUGGCGAAGGCAGCUUCCUGGCAUCAUACUGACACUGAGGUUCGAAAGCGUGGGUAGCAAACAGGAUUAGAUACCCUGGUAGUCCACGCCGUAAACGAUGUCUACCAGUCGUUGGGUCUCUUGAAGACUUAGUGACGCAGUUAACGCAAUAAGUAGACCGCCUGGGGAGUACGGCCGCAAGGUUAAAACUCAAAUGAAUUGACGGGGGCCCGCACAAGCGGUGGAGCAUGUGGUUUAAUUCGAUGCAACGCGAAGAACCUUACCUGGUCUUGACAUAGUGAGAAUCCUGCAGAGAUGCGGGAGUGCCUUCGGGAAUUCACAUACAGGUGAUGCAUGGAUGUCGUCAGCUCG